GUCUCAGUGCCCCCAUGUCUCCCAGAGUCCCCGGGUCUCUGUGUCCCCAAGUAUCCUAGUGACAUGGGGACACACUGAGACAUGGGGACACUGGGAGACUAUGGGACUGGGCGACAUGUGGAUACUGACCCUGUGAUACAUAGGGACACUGGGUGACUACGAGACUGAGACACUGGGAGACAUGGAGACACUGUGAGCAAUUCAUCUAUACAGCAGAAUCAAACUGUGAGUAGUUUGUUGGUGAUUUUACAGAAUGUUCUCUAAUGUCACUUCUUGUGAUUUACAUCAUCUGAUGUCAUGCAUAACUAAUUAAUUACACAAAUUAUUAAGGAUGGUAUUUUUUUCCAAGAAAGGU
Non-coding RNA from Pelobates cultripes (western spadefoot toad), 355 nucleotides. The record is from the annotation of a GenBank genome assembly. Lineage: Eukaryota; Metazoa; Chordata; Amphibia; Anura; Pelobatidae.